GAGAAGAACGUAGCGAAAUGCGAUAAGUAAUGUGAAUUGCAGAAUUCAGUGAAUCAUCGAAUCUUUGAACGCACAUUGCGCCCCCUGGUAUUCCGGGGGGCAUGCCUGUCCGAGCGUCAUUACAACCCUCAAGCUCAGCUUGGUGUUGGGCCCCGCCGCCCCGGCGGGCCCUAAAGUCAGUGGCGGUGCCGUCCGGCUCCGAGCGUAGUAAUUCUUCUCGCUCUGGAGGCCCGGUCGUGUGCUCGCCAGCAACCCCCAAUUUUUUUCAGGUUGACCUCGGAUCAGGUAGGGAUACCCGCUGAACUUAAGCAUAUCAAUAAGCGGAGGA
This 328-nucleotide unclassified non-coding RNA is filed under the name soil metagenome. RNAcentral's name for it is "partial contains 5.8S ribosomal RNA, internal transcribed spacer 2, and large subunit ribosomal RNA". The stretch from base 3 to 119 matches the Rfam family "5.8S ribosomal RNA", at positions 38 to 154 of the family's 154-position model. The record is from RNAcentral.